Long non-coding RNA from Selaginella moellendorffii, 257 nucleotides. RefSeq lists it as uncharacterized. The record is from RefSeq and is a predicted model, not a curated record. The transcript is spliced from 2 exons. NCBI's taxonomy places the organism in Eukaryota, Viridiplantae, Streptophyta, Lycopodiopsida, Selaginellales, Selaginellaceae.
AAAGCAUUCUUCCACUGAUGCUCGGGUGGGAAUCCUUUGUGAAACUUUGGCUGGCAUUAGAAUUAUCAAGUUCAAUGGUUGGGUUCCUUUGUUUAUGAAAAAAAUCAAUAGUGCUCGUGCUGGUGAAAUGAAGUGGGUUUCCAAGUUGGCUAUGAUCAGUACAAUCAUGUAUAUUUUGAAGGAUUCAAUUGUUCCAUUUGCAUGCAUAUUUGCUUUUGGUGCUUAUAUCAUUCAUCAUAAAAUGCUUGAUGUGACAA